Long non-coding RNA from Leopardus geoffroyi (Geoffroy's cat), 1607 nucleotides. RefSeq lists it as uncharacterized. The record is from RefSeq and is a predicted model, not a curated record. The transcript is spliced from 3 exons. NCBI's taxonomy places the organism in Eukaryota, Metazoa, Chordata, Mammalia, Carnivora, Felidae.
UCACCUCUGUGUCUGCAGAGACUUCUGGAACGCUUCAUCCAUAGUAGGUACUCAAAACCCACUCGUUAAGCGCAUCAAUGAACAAUAGCUAACAUUCUGAGAGCACUCCGGGACUAAGCGCUUCCGCUUUCCUCCGUUAAGCCUCCCAGUCCAGACAAAGGGGCGCUACUUUCCUUUCCAUGUGACCGACGACGACGGGGAAACCGAGGUUCUGAGAGGCGGAGGCGCUCCAUCCAGCAAAGGCCUGGUUUGGAGAGCUCAGAGUUGCUAUGAGCAAUCCCUGCCCCUGCUUUCUGGAGCACAGGUGUGAGUUCCUCGAGGGGCACACCCAUCCAUCUGCCAGAUCCUACUGAAUCGAGUUCCAGCUCCUCAAGAAAGCGAUGCCAGGAGUCAGGCUGUUUAAGCUGCAAUCCCACUGGUACACUUUGGGACCCAGGACCAGCCACCCUUCUCCGGGCCCUACUCUCCUCCUUGCUCCCCUCAGACCCGCUGCCAGCGCCUCCAUCAUCUCUACCUGCCAGCCUGCCUGCCUUCAUCCGCGGAGGAGAGACACGGCUGGAGGCUGAGAGAGGCGGCUUCGCGGGGCCCGGCCGCAAGAGGCCGCGUUACCUGUGUACCCAGGUGUGGACACGCAGCCACGCGCAAGGUACACAGCAGCGUGGAGCGGAAGCCCCCACACACCUACGAAAAGACCCAGCUGCCCAGUAGGGUUUAUGCCAGGGAUGCAAACCCGUUUCAGACAAAGUAGCCAUGGGAUUCACGCCGUUAACCGAUUGACGGAACGUGGCAUGGGUGUCUCCGUAAAUGCUGAGACGGUGUACGAAACAUGCCCUCACCCAGGCUCCAGAAAAGAGAAAGGAGCUAGAUAGAAGGUGCAAAGCCAGGGCAGGGAGCGUGAGGGAAGCGGGGACUGAGGCAGGAGAGGACGAGGACGAGGCGCGGUGAGUUGUUGUCACGCGGCUCGCUGUUUCUUGGAAAAGCACAGCAAGUGAUUGGCCAACGGGGCUGCUCAGCCCCCAGGGAGCCUCCAGAUGGACAUGCCUCCGGGCAGUCUAUCAGAGGAGGAAAGAUGGGAUCCAUCAGCCCAGCUCCCUCCUCAGCUUCCGUUUCCCAUUGGCCAAAGUUCCCCUCCCGGAUUCAUUCUCCUGCAUUUCGAGUUGCCUCGUGAAAGCCAUUGGCAGCUUCUUGGGAACCCAUGCCCUAUCGUGUGGUCUUUGUCCUAAGUCCAGAAAUGGCCAGAGAAGCCAGAGACUCUGGGCUUGUAGCUGAUUGGCGUUGGGCAGCAGAAUCGCACGGGCCCACAUGGAGUCUCUUGGCCGCCAUGGUGGCUGGAGCAGAGCAAACAGCUGAAGUCUGGGAAGCAGGGGAGUCCAAGAGAAUCUGAAGGCGUCACAUACGAUUAGGCGUCACAUCUAAAAGCAUCACACACGAUUGAUCUCAACUUCCAUUUCUGAUAAAAAAAAAAAAAAAAAAACUCAUCAAGCCACAUCCUUAUCGAUGAAAUAUUAAAAAGACCCCCCUUUCAAUUCGGGACUGAGGUAAAGUUAUCCGGGGUCAUCACCGCUACCCAACCUUAGACCUCAGGUGUAGCCGUCGUAAUAAGACAA